RNAcentral lists this ribosomal RNA (448 nucleotides) under uncultured bacterium. Its description in RNAcentral is "partial 16S ribosomal RNA". It matches the Rfam family "Bacterial small subunit ribosomal RNA", at positions 29 to 524 of the family's 1533-position model. The record is from RNAcentral.
AACGAACGCUGGCGGCAGGCUUAACACAUGCAAGUCGAGCGCCCUGCAAGGGGAGCGGCAGACGGGUGAGUAACGCGUGGGAAUCUACCUUGAACUACGGGAUAGCUCCGGGAAACUGGAAUUAAUACCGUAUGUGCCCUUCGGGGGAAAGAUUUAUCGGUUCAGGAUGAGCCCGCGUCGGAUUAGCUAGUUGGUGGGGUAAAGGCCUACCAAGGCGACGAUCCGUAGCUGGUCUAAGAGGAUGAUCAGCCACAUUGGGACUGAGACACGGCCCAAACUCCUACGGGAGGCAGCAGUGGGGAAUAUUGGACAAUGGGCGCAAGCCUGAUCCAGCCAUGCCGCGUGAGUGAUGAAGGCCCUAGGGUUGUAAAGCUCUUUCACCGGGGACGAUAAUGACGGUACCCGGAGAAGAAGCCCCGGCUAACUUCGUGCCAGCCGCCGCAGUUAA